UCGAGAAUCUUCGGCAAUGGGCGCAAGCCUGACCGAGCGACGCCGCGUGCGGGAUGAAGGCCUUCGGGUUGUAAACCGCUGUCAGAGGGGAGGAAAUGCUAUGGGGUUCUCUCCAUAGUUUGACCGAUCCUCAGAGGAAGCGCAGGCUAAGUUCGUGCCAGCAGCCGCGGUAACACGAACUGCGCGAACGUUAUUCGGAAUCACUGGGCUUAAAGAGUGCGUAGGCGGCCUGUCAAGUUGGGUGUGAAAUCCCUCGACUCAACCGAGGAACUGCGCUCAAAACUGGCAGGCUUGAGGGAGACAGAGGUGAGCGGAACUGAUGGUGGAGCGGUGAAAUGCGUUGAUAUCAUCAGGAACACCGGUGGCGAAGGCGGCUCACUGGGUCUCUUCUGACGCUGAGGCACGAAAGCUAGGGUAGCGAACGGGAUUAGAUACCCCCGUAGUCC
This 446-nucleotide ribosomal RNA is filed under the name uncultured prokaryote. Its description in RNAcentral is "bacterial SSU rRNA". It matches the Rfam family "Bacterial small subunit ribosomal RNA", at positions 355 to 796 of the family's 1533-position model. The record is from RNAcentral.